Molecule: long non-coding RNA, 732 nt
Organism: Poecilia reticulata (guppy)
Lineage: Eukaryota; Metazoa; Chordata; Actinopteri; Cyprinodontiformes; Poeciliidae
Source: RefSeq, a predicted model, not a curated record
CGGAGAAACAACGUACCGUUCCAGGAAAACCGUUCUUCCGCCGUCAUCUGCGGCUAUGCUAACUAGCCUUAGCAUUUGAGAGUUGAGGUGUGCAUUGAAGACGUAAUUGUGUGGACGAGGCCUGAGGAGAGAGAGAGAGAGAGACGAGGACAGAGGAAUGGACAAGAGCAGGGAGUAAACAAAAAUCCGCUGCCAGGAUUAAGAAGAGUUUCAUAUUUGGGGGACUGUCAACAUCACCCUGAGCAGAUAACACGUCAGCAGCGUUUGGCAGCGAAUUGUGCAGCGCUUGAUCUUUAUCUGUUGUAGCAUAUGCCUCGGUGUGUUUCAUCACACUCGGUCCUGCAGGUUCUGCUGCUCAGAUGCACAAACUACAAAUAAAGACAUAUAUUGUGCAUUUGCUGUGAACGAGACAGGUGCAAUUUUGAGCAACUAAGACCACAAACCACUGAUCGUAGCUGGAAACAAUAAGCCCAUUAGCUCUCCUUUAAUAGACUCUGGCGUGUCAAAGCAUGUUUGUGGAGGGUGGUUCAGGAAACAUUAGCGAAGAAACGCGCACUUUUUUAACGCCUGGACUUGUAGGAGCGGACAGGAAAUAUCUGUCCUGGUACGUCAGGAUCGUCUGCCAGUCAAGGCUCUUCGAUUGUUAAAGACCAAUGUUUGCUCUGUCAACAGGACGUGGUAAGCCAAAGUAUAUCGGUUUCCCACACCAACACUAGGUGCACUGCAAACAAA